Molecule: ribosomal RNA, 253 nt
Filed under: uncultured bacterium
Lineage: Bacteria
Description: partial 16S ribosomal RNA
Rfam family: Bacterial small subunit ribosomal RNA
Source: RNAcentral
UACAGAGGGUGCAAGCGUUGUUCGGAAUUAUUGGGCGUAAAGCGCGUGUAGGCGGCUUAGCAAGUCGGGCGUGAAAGCCCUCGGCUCAACCGAGGAAGUGCACCCGAAACUGCUGAGCUUGAGUGCCGGAGAGGAUGGCGGAAUACCCCAAGUAGAGGUGAAAUUCGUAGAUAUGGGGUGGAACACCGGUGGCGAAGGCGGCCAUCUGGACGGUAACUGACGCUGAGACGCGAAAGCGUGGGGAGCGAACAGG